Pelobates cultripes (western spadefoot toad) is the source of this 293-nucleotide non-coding RNA. The record is from the annotation of a GenBank genome assembly. Lineage: Eukaryota; Metazoa; Chordata; Amphibia; Anura; Pelobatidae.
GUUUAUUACCUUUUUACUAUAGUUCUGUAUUUGUGUUAUGUAUUUUUAUAUAUGUGUUUUACAUUUCUGUUUGAAUGCAAUAAUUGUCUGACAUCUCUUUAAGUACCAGGACUUUGACACAACCAACCACACACCGGUUACUACACAACAGUACUUCUGACUGAUAUGUGAUUACCGGAAAUAUUGUAGGAAACCAUUCUGAAUGUUUUGUUUUAUUAAUUCUACCUGUUUAAGAGUUAAGUCACACUUUAUGAACCCUUUUUUGUUAAAUAAAGUUUACCCUUUUAUAUUCA